RNAcentral lists this ribosomal RNA (417 nucleotides) under uncultured bacterium. RNAcentral describes it as "bacterial SSU rRNA". It matches the Rfam family "Bacterial small subunit ribosomal RNA", at positions 355 to 765 of the family's 1533-position model. The record is from RNAcentral.
UCGAGAAUUUUUCACAAUGGGCGCAAGCCUGAUGGAGCGACGCCGCGUGGGGGAUGAAGGGUUUCGAUCCGUAAACCCCUGUCAUUUGCGAACAAACCUUGAUUGUGAAUAGCGAUCGAGCUGAUUGUAGCGGAAGAGGAAGGGACGGCUAACUCUGUGCCAGCAGCCGCGGUAAUACAGAGGUCCCAAGCGUUGUUCGGGUUCACUGGGCGUAAAGGGUGCGUAGGUGGUCGGUGAAGUUCGGUGUGAAAGCUCGGAGCUCAACUCCGAAACGGCAUUGAAAACUCAUCGGCUGGAGGGUCGGAGGGGAGACUGGAAUUCUCGGUGUAGCAGUGAAAUGCGUAGAUAUCGAGAGGAACACCAGUGGCGAAGGCGAGUCUCUGGACGACUCCUGACACUGAGGCACGAAAGCCAGGG